Non-coding RNA from Pelobates cultripes (western spadefoot toad), 157 nucleotides. Lineage: Eukaryota; Metazoa; Chordata; Amphibia; Anura; Pelobatidae. The record is from the annotation of a GenBank genome assembly.
GCAGACACAUUCCAGCCAAUCAGCAGCAGACCCUCCCUCCCAGCCCCUCCCACCUCCUGGACAGCUCACUAAGAAUGCAGCUUCAAAAUGGAUGCUGUCCAGGAGGUGGGAGGGUCUGGGAGGGAGGGUCUGCUGCUGAUUGGCUGGAAUGUGUCUG